GGCUCAGUGGUGUAGUGUCUAAAAGACAGUGCACCGGAUAGGCCUGGGACGUGGGUUCAAAUCCCGCCUGAGCCA
RNAcentral lists this transfer RNA (75 nucleotides) under Nippostrongylus brasiliensis. It matches the Rfam family "tRNA". Rfam says of the family: Transfer RNA (tRNA) molecules are approximately 80 nucleotides in length. Their secondary structure includes four short double-helical elements and three loops (D, anti-codon, and T loops). Lineage: Eukaryota; Metazoa; Nematoda; Chromadorea; Rhabditida; Heligmosomidae. The record is from Rfam by way of RNAcentral.